GCGCCCGUAGCUCAGGUGGAUAGAGCAAUGGUCUCCGAAGCCAUGUGCCGUUGGUUCGAAUCCAAUCGGGCGCACCA
RNAcentral lists this transfer RNA (77 nucleotides) under Eubacterium limosum. Its description in RNAcentral is "tRNA-Arg(ccg)". It matches the Rfam family "tRNA". Rfam says of the family: Transfer RNA (tRNA) molecules are approximately 80 nucleotides in length. Their secondary structure includes four short double-helical elements and three loops (D, anti-codon, and T loops). Lineage: Bacteria; Bacillati; Bacillota; Clostridia; Eubacteriales; Eubacteriaceae. RNAcentral also lists the same sequence under 7 other names. The record is from RNAcentral.